This 253-nucleotide ribosomal RNA is filed under the name uncultured bacterium. RNAcentral's name for it is "partial 16S ribosomal RNA". It matches the Rfam family "Bacterial small subunit ribosomal RNA", at positions 524 to 776 of the family's 1533-position model. The record is from RNAcentral.
UACAGAGGUCCCAAGCGUUGUUCGGAUUCACUGGGCGUAAAGGGUGCGUAGGUGGCUGGGCAAGUUUGAUGUGAAAUCUCCGGGCUUAACCCGGAAAAUGCAUUGAAUACUGCUUAGCUGGAGGUUUGGAGGGGGGACUGGAAUUCUCGGUGUAGCAGUGAAAUGCGUAGAUAUCGAGAGGAACACCAGUGGCGAAGGCGGGUCCCUGGACAACACCUGACACUGAGGCACGAAAGCUAGGGGAGCAAACAGG